UACAGAGGUGGCAAGCGUUGUUCGGAAUUACUGGGCGUAAAGGGCGCGUAGGCGGCCCGUCAAGUCCCGUGUGAAAGCCCCCGGCUCAACCGGGGAACGGCGCGGGAAACUAGCAGGCUUGAGUUCGGGAGAGGGAAGCGGAAUUCCGGGUGUAGCGGUGAAAUGCGCAGAUAUCCGAAGGAACACCGGUGGCGAAGGCGGCUUCCUGGACCGACACUGACGCUGAGGCGCGAAAGCUAGGGGAGCAAACGGG
This 253-nucleotide ribosomal RNA is filed under the name uncultured bacterium. RNAcentral's name for it is "partial 16S ribosomal RNA". It matches the Rfam family "Bacterial small subunit ribosomal RNA", at positions 524 to 776 of the family's 1533-position model. The record is from RNAcentral.